RNAcentral lists this ribosomal RNA (711 nucleotides) under uncultured bacterium. RNAcentral's name for it is "bacterial SSU rRNA". It matches the Rfam family "Bacterial small subunit ribosomal RNA", at positions 49 to 760 of the family's 1533-position model. The record is from RNAcentral.
UUACACAUGCAAGUCGAACGGUAACAGGUCUUCGGAUGCUGACGAGUGGCGAACGGGUGAGUAAUACAUCGGAACGUGCCCGAUCGUGGGGGAUAACGAAGCGAAAGCUUUGCUAAUACCGCAUACGAUCUACGGAUGAAAGCGGGGGAUCUUCGGACCUCGCGCGGACGGAGCGGCCGAUGGCAGAUUAGGUAGUUGGUGGGAUAAAAGCUUACCAAGCCGACGAUCUGUAGCUGGUCUGAGAGGAUGAUCAGCCACACUGGGACUGAGACACGGCCCAGACUCCUACGGGAGGCAGCAGUGGGGAAUUUUGGACAAUGGGGGCAACCCUGAUCCAGCCAUGCCGCGUGAGUGAAGAAGGCCUUCGGGUUGUAAAGCUCUUUCGGACGGAAAGAAAUCGCCGCCUCUAACAUAGGCGGUGGAUGACGGUACCGUAAGAAGAAGCACCGGCUAACUACGUGCCAGCAGCCGCGGUAAUACGUAGGGUGCGAGCGUUAAUCGGAAUUACUGGGCGUAAAGCGUGCGCAGGCGGUUUGGUAAGACAGGUGUGAAAUCCCCGGGCUUAACCUGGGAACUGCGCUUGUGACUGCCAGGCUAGAGUACGGCAGAGGGGGGUGGAAUUCCACGUGUAGCAGUGAAAUGCGUAGAGAUGUGGAGGAACACCGAUGGCGAAGGCAGCCCCCUGGGCCUGUACUACGCUCAUCACAAAGC